RNAcentral lists this unclassified non-coding RNA (565 nucleotides) under Hevea brasiliensis (rubber tree). The record is from RNAcentral. Lineage: Eukaryota; Viridiplantae; Streptophyta; Magnoliopsida; Malpighiales; Euphorbiaceae.
AGAGAACUCCCAGAAACCAAUAUAACUAAAAUAAAAUCCUCAAGUGCACACAAUGUGAACAUAACAAUUAGAUAAUCAACAAGGAUGAAGACCAUAUUUCUACUAAUAAAGUAAAUCUCAUAAUUUAACUAAAAAGGGUUCCUUAAUUUUUUUAUUUUUCUCAACUUUGGUUUCACUACUUUUGUCACACCCCAAUCAAUUGUUCCUCACUCUCUCAUCAAAACACCAAGCGGAACUGAGGAGCAUCGGCAUCACAAGCAGGAAGGUUUUCCCAAUGGCAAGGCUCGAGCUCGUCUGACACAGGGCAGUAUCCCACCAGAGUAACCUAAUCGGUCGAAGCAGUGACGGAGCCAAACUCGAAAAUGGUGACAUUCUUGGCGAGUCUGGGCACUUGUAUAGUGUCGUUCAUGCCAGGAACCUCGAAAGAUGAGAAUUCGAGUUUGGAGGUCGGUGUGGAUUUGGAUUUAGGCUUGGGGCAACCUUUGAACUAGGAGAGGAGACCCACCAAAUUUGGGGAUUUUAUUUUUGUCCAAUGAAUUUUCAGAUUAGGGUUUUGGUGUCAAAG